GUCAUCUAUUUUUUUUUUGGUCCAAGGUGUUUAUAGAUGAAGUAUGUCGGGAAGUGAUUUCAUUUUUAAGGGCUUGCUGUAGAGGAUUGAAGUGCAAUCUUGAGUGCUAGCUGUUUUCUCAAAAAUCUUGUGCGGUAGCUCUCUUUAUUUCUCAAGGAAAAAGUGUGAGAGGAGUGGUAGGUCUGCUGAACAGCGUUCGGCCCCAUGGAGAUCGGGGUAUGGAUGACCUGCUUCACUGUAGAUCUAUGCAGAAGAAGAUUUGAUUGUAAAGAGAGUGCUACGAUUUGGAGGAUUCGAAGGGAUGACAAAAACAUUGAAUCUCGCUUCCUCAUCAAAACUAAAUUGGGCAUGGGAGGUUUCGGCAAAAAUAUGAUUAUGCAGCUGGUCCACUGGAGAAAAAAAUAGUUAUUCGUUCCUAGAUAUGAAUAGAAGUGCACUAGUCCUCGACGACAUUUGGAAUGAGAAUUAAAAAUAUUUGAUAAGUCGUUUAGAAAUCAGUAACGGAUUUAAGCAUACUAAUUUUGGAUGAUGUUUGGGAUGUACAUGCAAAAUAUUUAAUGAUAAAUGAAAGAUCCGUAUUUUUUAUUAUGAAUCUUGGUGCACGAUUGCUGGACGAUGUUUGGAAUGAACAUGCGAAAUGUUUUAAAAGAUCAGCUGAUUACGUAAAAGAUGCACAAUAUUUUUAUGUAUGAAAGAUCACUUUUUCGCCAAACAAAGAGUCUUUGGUCAAUUUUUCGCUCACAUGAUGCACUUAUAUCAGCUACCAGUUGGAAAAUUUGCAGACUUUUGAAACAUUCUGAUGCAGAAUUUGCUAUUGAUCUUUGAUGCAAAGUUUCUAUGUAGCAGUUGGUUCUUUCUUUUAUGGCGUCCCCUAGCUCUUGCCAUGCUUGUAUGUAGUUUCAAUAUUCUUAAGCAUUCUAUGCCAAAGAGUACUUCCGAAAAAACUUCAGAAUAACCUUCUUGGCUAUGAAGAUGAUGCUAGCGACAAGCAUUAUGUGCUUUCUCGCCAUCUGCCUAGGCCCCUCUGUCAUGAUGGAAGUGAUUGAAACUAUAGGCUUUUUGGUGUAUCACGCAUCCAUUCAAAUCGUUAGCUGAUUCCAAUUUCAUUCUAGAACUUCAAAAGUGAGAAGGAACAUUGUUUAUAUAUAUUUGAGCUUAAGUGCUUCAGAUAGAGCCUCUUGCAUAAAGCGUAUGAGUAGCCACAUUGAAUGCAUGGAGAGAUUUGAGGAGGUAACUUUAUGUACUAUUAAAAAACUAUGGGUCCAUCUCUGCUUUAUAUUUUGUCUUUCACAUUAUACUGCAUUAAUUUGUUGUUGUUCUUUACAAAAGAGUAUCCGGUAAGUAAACUCGAAAAAAGGAGCCAAUCAAGACGAAGUAAUCCAUGUUCACUCAUGCAUGCAACAGUGGAGGCCUAUGAAAGAUGCAUCAUGAAAAACAAUAGACUAAAAUUUCGUAGAGAAGCGCUAUCCAAGACGGUCUCCCACGACAUGGGACAAGAUAGAUAUAAGCAUAUGUGCACUUGCAUGGAGGAGCCCCUUUCUGCUCUUUGUGGUCAAACUCCUAGCUAUGCUGGGGCCAUGAG
This is a non-coding RNA of Phoenix dactylifera (date palm), 1582 nucleotides long. The record is from RefSeq and is a predicted model, not a curated record. Lineage: Eukaryota; Viridiplantae; Streptophyta; Magnoliopsida; Arecales; Arecaceae.